Molecule: ribosomal RNA, 684 nt
Filed under: uncultured Bacteroidota bacterium
Lineage: Bacteria; Pseudomonadati; Bacteroidota
Description: bacterial SSU rRNA
Rfam family: Bacterial small subunit ribosomal RNA
Source: RNAcentral
GAACAGGAUUAGAUACCCUGGUAGUCCACGCUGUAAACGAUGAUCACUAGCUGUUGGCGAUACAUAGUCAGCGGCAAAGCGAAAGCAUUAAGUGAUCCACCUGGGGAGUACGCCGGCAACGGUGAAACUCAAAGGAAUUGACGGGGGCCCGCACAAGCGGAGGAACAUGUGGUUUAAUUCGAUGAUACGCGAGGAACCUUACCUGGGCUUAAAUAGAGAGUGCAUGAGUGGGAAACCAUUCUUUCCUUCGGGACUCUCUUCAAGGUGCUGCAUGGUUGUCGUCAGCUCUUGCCGUGAGGUGUCGGGUUGAGUCCCAUAACGAGCGCAACCCUUAUCGUUAGUUGCCAUCAGUUCGGCUGGGGACUCUAACGAAACUGCCGGUGUAAACCGUGAGGAAGGUGGGGAUGACGUCAAAUCAGCACGGCCCUUAUGUCCAGGGCUACACACGUGUUACAAUGGUCGAUACAAAGGGCAGCUACCAGGCAACUGGAUGCUAAUCUCAAAAGUCGGUCUUAGUUCGGAUUGGAGUCUGCAACUCGACUUCAUGAAGCUGGAUUCGCUAGUAAUCGCGCAUCAGCCACGGCGCGGUGAAUACGUUCCCGGGCCUUGUACACACCGCCCGUCAAGCCAUGGAAGCUGGGGGUACCUGAAGUACGUAACCGCAAGGAGCGGCCUAGGGGAAAA